UACGGGGGGGCAAGGCGUUGUUCGGAAUUACUGGGCGUUAAAGAGCUCGUAGGUGGUUUGUCGCGUUGUUCGUGAAACUCACAGCUUAACUGUGGGCGUGCGGGCGAUACGGGCAGACGUAGAGUACUGCAGGGGAGACUGGAAUUCCUGGUGUAGCGGUGGAAUGCGCAGAUAUCAGGAGGAACACCGGUGGCGAAGGCGGGUCUCUGGGCAGUAACUGACGCUGAGGAGCGAAAGCGUGGGGAGCGAACAGG
RNAcentral lists this ribosomal RNA (254 nucleotides) under uncultured bacterium. Its description in RNAcentral is "partial 16S ribosomal RNA". It matches the Rfam family "Bacterial small subunit ribosomal RNA", at positions 524 to 776 of the family's 1533-position model. The record is from RNAcentral.